CACCCACAGUUCCUGUCACUAAACCUGUAAUCAGGGCAAAUGUUCCUGUCACUAAACCUCUGGUCAAGGAAAAUGACACUGCCACCCUCACGUGUGAGACUGAAAAUGCUGAAAGGAUCGCGUGGGGCCACAGUAAUGGCAGACUCCCCUCUGCUAUAACCCUAUCCAAUGAUAACAGGACUCUCACCUUCUCCAGUAUCAAACGCGUAGACUCAGGAGAUUAUUAUUGUGAGGCUGAGAAUGUUAUCAAUAAGAUCAAAAGUGACAUCUACACACUGACUGUAAACUGUAAGUAAUUAUAUAUUGUGACUACUAAUAAUAUACAAACAUUUGCUGUUGCUGAGUGUUUUCUGUAAGAAAUGUAUUGUUCAUGUAGAAUUGGUUUUACAUGAGUGUAUCCUGUGAAAUGACUACUGUCCGAUAUCCAUAUCAAAGAGUAUCUAUCUUCAGUAUUGUCUGAGCUUAU
Pelobates cultripes (western spadefoot toad) is the source of this 466-nucleotide non-coding RNA. The record is from the annotation of a GenBank genome assembly. NCBI's taxonomy places the organism in Eukaryota, Metazoa, Chordata, Amphibia, Anura, Pelobatidae.